RNAcentral lists this ribosomal RNA (1244 nucleotides) under metagenome. Its description in RNAcentral is "bacterial LSU rRNA". It matches the Rfam family "Bacterial large subunit ribosomal RNA", at positions 1564 to 2817 of the family's 2925-position model. The record is from RNAcentral.
UGAAUACGAGACGCUAAGGCGUCGAAGUAGUGUAUGUCAUACUUCCAAGAAAAGCUUGCACUGUCAUAGAUAAAAAACGCCUGUACCAUAACCGACACAGGUGGGUAGGUAGAGUAUACUAAGGGGCGCGAGAUAACUCUCUCUAAGGAACUCGGCAAAAUAACUCCGUAACUUCGGGAGAAGGAGUGCCUUAUUCGUAAGGUUGCAAUAACAAGAUCCAAGCAACUGUUUAUCAAAAGCACAGGUCUCCGCUAAGUCGUAAGACGAUGUAUGGGGGCUGACGCCUGCCCAGUGCCAGAAGGUUAAAGAAGUUGGUUAGCAAUUGCGAAGCUGAUAACUGAAGCCCUGGUGAACGGCGGCCGUAACUAUAACGGUCCUAAGGUAGCGAAAUUCCUUGUCGGGUAAGUUCCGACCCGCACGGAAGGCGUAAUGAUUUGGAUACUGUCUCGGAGAGGGGCUCGGUGAAAUAGACUUGUCUGUGAAGAUGCGGACUACCUGCACCAGGACAGAAAGACCCUAUGAAGCUUUACUGUAACUUGAAAUUGAAAUUGGACUUUAUCCGCGCAGUAUAGGUGGGAGGCGUUGAUUAUAAUCUUGUGGGAUUAUUGGAGCCAUCAGUGAGAUACCACUCUUGUAAUGUUAGAUUUCUAACUUUGAAUCAUUAUCUGGUCAAAGAACAGUUUCAGGCGGGCAGUUUGACUGGGGCGGUCGCCUCCUAAACGGUAACGGAGGCGUACAAAGGUUUCCUCUGAACGGUUAGAAAUCGUAUCUAGAGUGUAAAGGCAUAAGGAAGCUUGACUGUGAGACCUACAAGUCGAGCAGGGACGAAAGUCGGUCUUAGUGAUCUGACGGUACUGAGUGGAAAGGCCGUCACUCAACGGAUAAAAGUUACUCUAAGGAUAACAGGCUGAUCUCCCCCAAGAGUUCACAUCGACGGGGAGGUUUGGCACCUCGAUGUCGGCUCAUCGCAUCCUGGGGCGGUAGUACGUCCCAAGGGUUGGGCUGUUCGCCCAUGAAAGCGGUACGCGAGCUGGGUUCGGAACGUCGUGAGACAGUUCGGUCCAUAUCCGGUGUAGGCGUUAGAAUAUUGAGAGGAGCCUUCUUUAGUACGAGAGGACCGAGAAGGACAUACCUCUGGUGUACCAGUUAUCGUGCCAACGGUAAACGCUGGGUAGCUAUGUAUGGAGUGGAUAACCGCUGAAAGCAUCUAAGUGGGAAGCCCACCUCAAGAUAAGUAUUCUCAU